GACGAACGCUGGCGGCGUGCUUAACACAUGCAAGUCGAACGGAAAGGCCCUGCUUGCAGGGUACUCGAGUGGCGAACGGGUGAGUAACACGUGGGUGAUCUGCCCUGCACUUCGGGAUAAGCCUGGGAAACUGGGUCUAAUACCGGAUAGGAGCCAUUUUUAGUGUGAUGGUUGGAAAGUUUUUUCGGUGUAGGAUGAGCUCGCGGCCUAUCAGCUUGUUGGUGGGGUAAUGGCCUACCAAGGCGGCGACGGGUAGCCGGCCUGAGAGGGUGGACGGCCACAUCGGGACUGAGAUACGGCCCAGACUCCUACGGGAGGCAGCGGUGGGGAAUAUUGCACAAUGGGCGCAAGCCUGAUGCAGCGACGCCGCGUGGGGGAUGACGGCCUUCGGGUUGUAAACUCCUUUCGCUAGGGACGAAGCUUUUUGUGACGGUACCUAGAUAAGAAGCACCGGCUAACUACGUG
Molecule: ribosomal RNA, 465 nt
Filed under: uncultured bacterium
Lineage: Bacteria
Description: partial 16S ribosomal RNA
Rfam family: Bacterial small subunit ribosomal RNA
Source: RNAcentral